This is a non-coding RNA of Dromiciops gliroides (monito del monte), 1863 nucleotides long. NCBI's taxonomy places the organism in Eukaryota, Metazoa, Chordata, Mammalia, Microbiotheria, Microbiotheriidae. The record is from the annotation of a RefSeq genome assembly.
CCCUCCACUGGGAGGUUCAAAGUAAAAUUUUAACCAUCAAAUACCAACAAAAGCACUGGUUAUAAAAUGGGAUCAGAUGGACCCCUUGAAUGCCAAGAGACUCAGCUUCCAAUAACAGUAACAGGUCAUCGAAUAGCUACCCCAGCUGGACCAAACCUCUUCUCCCUCUCUUCCUGUUGGAAUUCUGAAAAUGAAGAUGCCCCUGUGGCUGUGGGUUGUUUGGCUAAGGAUUUUCUACCUGAUUCCAUUAAAUUUUCCUGGAAAUACCAAAACCAAAGUGCUGUGAGUAACACAAAUUUAAAGAUCUUCCCAACCCUUAUGAGCGGAAGCACAUACACAGCCACCUCACAAGUGAUCCUCCCUGCCAAUGAUGUCUUCCAAGGACAAGAUAGCUACUUGGUAUGUAAGACCCAACAUCUCAAUGCUGAGAAGGAAAUUCAAGUUCCACUACCAGAUCGCACCGUCAGUUCCCCUAAUGUGACUGUGUAUAUCCCACCCCGUGAUGCAUUCUCCAGCUCUAGCUUAAGAACAUCCAAGCUCAUCUGUCAAGUCACCAACUUCAGGCCAAACAAGAUCAAGUUAACAUGGCUUCGAGAGAACAGUCCAGUUGUGUCAGGUGUUUCUACAGGUCAAGUCCUGCCUGAAGGCUCUGGGACCUACCACCUGCAGAGCAGCCUAACUAUCAGUGAGAAUGACUGGCUCAGCCAAAGCACAUUCACCUGCCAAGUUAAUCAUGAAGGGGUCCAAUUCCAGAAAAAUGUUUCCUCAACCUGUUUUAGCAGUGGCCCAGAAUCACCCAUUGAAGUCUUUACCAUCCCCCCCUCCUUUGCAAGCAUCUUUACUACCAAAUCAGCCAAAUUAACCUGUGUAGUCACAAACAUUCCCAACAUUCAAAAUCUGAAUAUUUCCUGGACCGAUGAGAAUGGACAGUUUCUGGAAACUAUCAUUAAGACAGACUUCAGCCACUCCAGUAGUGUUAAGGGAGAAGCCACAGUCUGUGCAGAAGACUGGAAUUCAGGGAAAAAAUUCAAAUGCACCGUGAUCCAUCCUAAUCAUCCUGUUCCCUUGAAGAAAGAAAUCUUUAAGCAACAAGGGGUUGCCCAGCGUGCACCAGCUGUCUAUCUGUUGCCUCCAACUCCUGAGGAGCUGAACCUGAGGGAAGCAGCUACCCUAACCUGCCUGAUGAAGGACUUCUCCCCAGCAGAUGUGUUUGUCCAGUGGCUGCACAAAGGACAGCCUAUACCCUCAGAGAAAUAUGUCACCAGCAGCCCCCAGCAAGAACCCCAGAAAGCCGGUCUCUACUUCUCCCACAGCACCCUGACAGUGUCUGAGGAACACUGGAAUGCAGGGGAUUCCUACACCUGUGUGGUGGUUCAUGAAGCACUGCCCUUGUCCGUGACUGAGAAGACCGUGGACAAGUCCACCGAAGCGAAAGUGAAUGCUGAAGAAGAGGGAUUUGAGAACCUGUGGACAACAGCCUCUACUUUCAUUGUCCUCUUCCUGCUGAGUCUCUUUUACAGUACAACAGUCACUUUGUUCAAGGUAAAAUAAAUUCAUGUUUGAAAGACAAACAUCUGAAAACAAAGAGCUUGGACCAAAAGAAGGAAUAAUUCCCUGGAGGCCUGAACCAUGUUCCCCUUGCUGACUGAUGCAAUUCAUGCUUUCGACAAUGCUUGGAAAUGCAAGAGACUCCUAAAUUUGUGGGGGUUGGUGGAAAGGGAAGGGGGAAGGACUUAUCUUUUGACUUCCAGAUGGUCUUCCCACAUCCUCAUAUUAUUUUACGUAAAACUCACCUCCUGCAACCUCUCUUAUGUCCUCUGUCCUAAAAUUAGGAUUUAAAAGAAAAAAUGUAUAUUUCUUAAA